UACGUAGGGGGCAAGCGUUAUCCGGAAUUACUGGGUGUAAAGGGAGCGUAGACGGUGAAGUAAGUCUGGAGUGAAAGGCGGGGGCCCAACCCCCGGACUGCUCUGGAAACUAUUUGACUGGAGUGCAGGAGAGGUAAGCGGAAUUCCUAGUGUAGCGGUGAAAUGCGUAGAUAUUAGGAGGAACACCAGUGGCGAAGGCGGCUUACUGGACUGUAACUGACGUUGAGGCUCGAAAGCGUG
RNAcentral lists this ribosomal RNA (240 nucleotides) under uncultured bacterium. Its description in RNAcentral is "partial 16S ribosomal RNA". It matches the Rfam family "Bacterial small subunit ribosomal RNA", at positions 524 to 763 of the family's 1533-position model. The record is from RNAcentral.